Molecule: ribosomal RNA, 505 nt
Filed under: uncultured bacterium
Lineage: Bacteria
Description: partial 16S ribosomal RNA
Rfam family: Bacterial small subunit ribosomal RNA
Source: RNAcentral
GACGAACGCUGGCGGCGUGCCUAAUACAUGCAAGUAGAACGCACAGUUUAUACCGUAGCUUGCUACACCAUAGACUGUGAGUUGCGAACGGGUGAGUAACGCGUAGGUAACCUGCCUGGUAGCGGGGGAUAACUAUUGGAAACGAUAGCUAAUACCGCAUAAUAUUGAUUAUUGCAUGAUAAUUGAUUGAAAGAUGCUAUUGCAUCACUACCAGAUGGACCUGCGUUGUAUUAGCUAGUAGGUGAGGUAACGGCUCACCUAGGCGACGAUACAUAGCCGACCUGAGAGGGUGAUCGGCCACACUGGGACUGAGACACGGCCCAGCCUCCUACGGGAGGCAGCAGUAGGGAAUCUUCGGCAAUGGACGAAAGUCUGACCGAGCAACGCCGCGUGAGUGAAGAAGGUUUUCGGAUCGUAAAGCUCUGUUGUAAGAGAAGAACGGGUGUGAGAGUGGAAAGUUCACACUGUGACGGUAUCUUACCAGAAAGGGACGGCUAACUACGUG